Molecule: ribosomal RNA, 497 nt
Filed under: uncultured bacterium
Lineage: Bacteria
Description: partial 16S ribosomal RNA
Rfam family: Bacterial small subunit ribosomal RNA
Source: RNAcentral
GAUGAACGCUGGCGGCGUGCCUAAUACAUGCAAGUCGAGCGAACAGACGAGGAGCUUGCUCCUCUGACGUUAGCGGCGGACGGGUGAGUAACACGUGGAUAACCUACCUAUAAGACUGGGAUAACUUCGGGAAACCGGAGCUAAUACCGGAUAAUAUAUUGAACCGCAUGGUUCAAUAGUGAAAGACGGUUUUGCUGUCACUUAUAGAUGGAUCCGCGCCGCAUUAGCUAGUUGGUAAGGUAACGGCUUACCAAGGCGACGAUGCGUAGCCGACCUGAGAGGGUGAUCGGCCACACUGGAACUGAGACACGGUCCAGACUCCUACGGGAGGCAGCCGUAGGGAAUCUUCCGCAAAGGGCGAAAGCCUGACGGAGCAACGCCGCGUGAGUGAUGAAGGUCUUCGGAUCGUAAAACUCUGUUAUUAGGGAAGAACAAAUGUGUAAGUAACUAUGCACGUCUUGACGGUACCUAAUCAGAAAGCCACGGCUAACUACGUG